Molecule: ribosomal RNA, 259 nt
Filed under: uncultured bacterium
Lineage: Bacteria
Description: partial 16S ribosomal RNA
Rfam family: Bacterial small subunit ribosomal RNA
Source: RNAcentral
UACGUAGGGUGCAAGCGUUGUCCGGAAUUAUUGGGCGUAAAGAGCUCGUAGGCGGUCUGUCGCGUCCGUUGUGAAAAACUCGAGGCUCAACCCUCGGGGCUUGCAGUGGAUACGGGGCAGACUAGAGUGCGGUAGGGGGAGACUGGAAUUCCUGGUGUAGCGGUGAAAUGCGCAGAUAUCAGGAGGAACACCCGGUGGCGAAGGCGGUUCUCUGGGCAUGUCCUGACGCUGAGGAGCGAAAGUGUGGGGAGCGAACAGG